AUGUAUCUGUUGUUGUUCCACCAGUGUGAAAUUAAAACUCCCUCUUUGUCCAGUAUUGCUGUUCUUCUGGUCUUUCCAGUUCCUACUAUUACUAACUCCACAGUGUUGAUCUGUUCGAUUUUAAUGCUGUUACUCUUCCACCAGCUGGGCCAUGAUUACCAGUCUUCUUGUUCCCUCCAUCAGAGCUGGAUGGUCCCAUCCAACUCGGGUUACCAUCCUGCUGUGUUUAUCAUGUUGCUAAUUUGCUACUGGGCUCGAGUUACAAUUAAUUUGCCUUGUUUGGUGCUCCGGUCCAGCCCUCCUGUUCCGAAGAUCAUGCAACAGGGGAUCUAG
Molecule: ribosomal RNA, 333 nt
Filed under: Triticum aestivum (bread wheat)
Lineage: Eukaryota; Viridiplantae; Streptophyta; Magnoliopsida; Poales; Poaceae
Description: partial small subunit ribosomal RNA
Source: RNAcentral